CCCCAUUUAAGGGCUGACUGCCACUGGGAAGGAUCUCUUUCUGGAGAUCCCUUCUCUGUCGGGUCUUUCUUGUGAACCUAGAUCUUUGGAUACAGACUAUCAUGUUAAUAUGACCCUUUCCAAGAAAGGAGCUCAAGAAGUCCCUGUAACACCUUUGGAUGAAAUAGACUCUGAAAACAAAGCAGGACAAAAUUGUUAUGAGAAGAGGAAGAAAGAAGCCCAUCUGUCACCAGAUAGGAUUUGCUUUACUUACAUCUGAGAGAAAACUUUGGCUUUUUGGAGGUCUGGCUGGGAGUCUGAAGAACAAAAGCACAUCAGAAUAAAACCCACAACAAAUAUUUAAUUCAAUAUUUUAUACUGGGAUGAGCAGAAAGGAUGGUGACUGUUAAAUUUGAAAACUUCAGACUGGAUCAAGUGCAAAGAUGCUGAUUGAAGCAUUGACUGAAAGCUUUGCCUGUUUUGAUGACUCUGAAUAAAGUCUCUGAGUAACAAAACCCUAUAUUUCACAUUGUUUUUGCUGGUAUUAAAACAAUCUAAAGCAGUUUUUCAGACUCAAUAUGUGUAGACUGAUAAUAUAUAGGAAUUCAUAAGGAAAUUGUGCAUAUAGAAAGAUUGGAAAUUAGAUUAUGGGUCCCAAAAUACUGCGAAGAGUACUCAAACUUAUCAAGUGAUUAACUUUAAAUCCUCAA
Phasianus colchicus (ring-necked pheasant) is the source of this 689-nucleotide non-coding RNA. NCBI's taxonomy places the organism in Eukaryota, Metazoa, Chordata, Aves, Galliformes, Phasianidae. The record is from RefSeq and is a predicted model, not a curated record.